This 104-nucleotide antisense RNA is filed under the name Vogesella sp. LIG4. Its description in RNAcentral is "Vibrio RNA AS9". It matches the Rfam family "Vibrio RNA AS9". From Rfam's summary of the family: Identified by direct cloning an parallel sequencing experiments with 5S/tRNA depletion. Confirmed by Northern blot. Lineage: Bacteria; Pseudomonadati; Pseudomonadota; Betaproteobacteria; Neisseriales; Chromobacteriaceae. The record is from Rfam by way of RNAcentral.
CUGUUUGCAGCGCUCUUCGGUGAGCGUGAGGCAGAUCAGGCCACGGCCGUACUUGGCCAUGAAGUUGAUGGCUUCCGGCGUCACGUGCUCGGCGGCCAUUACCA